UUGAAUACAUUGACUUAAAAUUAGAUGAUGGGCUUGUGUGAGCGUUUAAAUGGUGUUUUACCGUGGCAACAGCAGGGAUUCUCCCAGACAGCAGCUGGAAGAGAGUCUGGAGGGGAUCACUGGCCGUUAGCUGGCCUGUAAACCUGCCAACAGAGCAGCCAAGGCUUUAUUACACACUGGCAGCAGAGCCACUGCUCUAAAGCGACACAUCACAUUUAAAGGCCAUCCCUACUGCCAGUCUGUACAGAAGUAAUGCACCAUCCUUACAGCUCAAAUUCUGCCCCUCAUGUCAAUCACAAAUCAAAUGACGGCCAAACCUCCCCCACACAUUCCUCUACUGACACCCAUACACAUGCUGCCCUGGGACAUGCUGCUGAUACUAAAAUAGUCUGGGUUACUUGAAAAACAGAUCAUAUAAACUGCAAUUUACUGAAUUCUCCCUGUUAAAGACAGAGCCCUCAAUCAGCACAAGCCUUUGAAAAUAAAGGAUUGCUCUGACUGUGGUGAGCAGAUAUUAAAAGGCUUUAAUUCCUACUAAAUAUGUCUAGCCAGGUGAUUUACGGUCUGAAGGAAAGUGUUAAUGGUCUCUGUUAUGUGCUGUCACGCGAGUACUUACUGCAGAUUAUAAAUAACUCUGACGGCAACAUAAACUCCUAAAAACAAGGUGCAAGUGGAUUCACAAAUGGAUUACCACUGAUAAAUCAAUAAUAAAUCACAUCCUUAAGUACACUCAUUUCAUUAUUCAAAGCAGCUCCUUAACACUGAUUGACAAACAAUUAUCUUAUGCAAAGAUUUUCUACUUUAGCUUUCUUUGAGAAUGAAACAAAUAUGAGGUGGGGUCAAAGUGUUGCACACAUUUGAUCUCUUCUUGUUUCCAUUACUGUAAUUACCGUCCUCAAAGUCUAAAUCAGGGACUUUAUUUUUGGCCACAGCGCUGUGGGAAAGCCAUGAGACUUGUUGCACAGAGUAGAUGUCUUGACAUGUCACAAGUAUAUCAAUGUGUGAGAUUGCAUAUCAAUCUGUUGAUUGCAUAAAUAUUAACAGUAGGCGCAAUUAUAUCCCAAAAAAAUGUAUUCAAAUUUUCUAUAUAUUUUGUAAAAAUCAUUUUAAAUUUCCACUAAUGAACAAAACUAAGAGUAGAGAGCCAUGCUAGCAGCUCUGUGAGUCUGCUGCUCUGAGCUAAAUGCUAACAGCAGCAUGAUAUGCCGGCAGUGACCGUACUAACAUGCUGAUACUAAGCAGGUUUACCAAGUGCACUAUUUUAGUUCAGCAUGAUAACAUGAGCUAGAUAGCACUGUAUGUGCAGUUAAGGCUGAUGGGAAUGUCAUCAUAUCAUCAAAGUCAUCACAAAAGAGCUGUGAAGUGAUUAAACCUAUGGCAGGAGAAUUCCACUGUAAACCAUCCGAGAUGAGAUUCUCCGAGAUGAGUAUUUAAAUUCAAACCUGCUGGGAACAAUCCGAUGUCUGUUUAGAAUCCAGUAGAUUUAGAGAACAUUCGCUGGAUAAAUAAACACGAUCACCUGCCGGUGGCACUAAAGGAAAAGUCAUGAUCACUAGGAGACAGUAAAAUCAUCCUCUCAGGACCAUGAACGUCUGCACAGAAUCUUAUGUUUUUUCAGUCUGGAUCAAAAGUCUGUCGCAGAGUGACACUGACAUCCUCACAGCCAAAUGCACUUUGAAACUGAAGAAUUCUCCAAAUACAGCUUCGACUGUUACACUGUCCACAUUUGCUUGUAGCUGUAGCACAAGUUUGAAGUAGACAUAAGAAAGCUAAGUAAUCUAAAAGGGGGCAUUUCGUCACAAAUUACCGCCUGCGUGUAGAGCUGUGUGCUGAUUUAUUGCAGCUGUCAUGUCUCAGAAGACUUCUCUCACCUGUUCAGCACGCCGGUGUAGGACCUGCUGUCCAUUUUGCUGGCCAGAAAAAGUGCAUGCCCCCACAGGCCGCUGCUCAUAGCUGACUCCAAGGCCUCCUGGGAACCACAUGGCCAGCAGCAGCUCAGUGUAGCUGUACAGGGCCUUCUCCGAGGUCUCAGAGCUGAAGCUGCAGGUUCCCGUGAGCAGGUCAUCUCCUGUUUGAGGUGGCGCUUCUGCGGCCGCGCCCUCACUGAAGUCAAUGAGCGUGGGGGCUUCUGGCUCCCAGCUUCCAUCUGAACGCUGUGGAUUUCCAGCUGACUGACGUUCUUCUGUGUGGAGAAGCCUGGAGUGACUCGAAUCAGCUGCCCUGCAGGUCCGAAGCUGACCACAGCGUGAGGGACCGAGUACUUCAGAGGAGCUGACGUCUGAUGUACGGGUCCAUGGUCUGAGGAGAGAUAUGAUACAUGACAGGACAUGUGUCAUGAUAAAUAAAUUAACCUGAGAGAAAAGACCUUUAACUGCACACUCACCUGCAUCAGAGGGGUGAACAGUCGGUGGCACAGAGUCGCUGUGUUCACUUCCAUCAAUGUAUUGACUCAGU
Hippoglossus stenolepis (Pacific halibut) is the source of this 2454-nucleotide long non-coding RNA. RefSeq lists it as uncharacterized. Lineage: Eukaryota; Metazoa; Chordata; Actinopteri; Pleuronectiformes; Pleuronectidae. The transcript has 3 exons. The record is from RefSeq and is a predicted model, not a curated record.